RNAcentral lists this long non-coding RNA (591 nucleotides) under Elaeis guineensis (African oil palm). RNAcentral's name for it is "long non-coding RNA (EGUI_LNC055853)". Lineage: Eukaryota; Viridiplantae; Streptophyta; Magnoliopsida; Arecales; Arecaceae. The record is from RNAcentral.
UCUAUCAUACUCUAUUGAUUAUAAUCUCAAAGUUUUGAUAUCACUUAUAUGACAAUCCCUAGUGACCUUAAACUUGGGCUCUAGUACUGUUCUGUCAUAUCCUAAUCACUUGUAUCAUUGUCUCCAAAUAAACGUAACCUAACCUCUAAGCUCAGAUGCCACUCUGUCACAUCCUACUGAUCUUAUAUAAAGUUUUAAUAUCUCUUCAUAAUCUCUGGUGACCUUAAACCUGAGCUAUGAUAUUAUUCUAUCACAUCAUAAUCAUUUAUAUCGUAAUCUCCAAUGAUCAUAACCUAAGCUCUAAUAUCACUCUGUAAUAUUCUAAUCACUUAUAUUAUAAUCCCUAAUGAUCAUAACCUACGCUCUGAUACCAUUCUGUCAUGCCUCGAACCCAACACCCGGGUCGGAUACGUGAUGGCCGCACACUCCUUAGAGCAAGCCCUAAAGAAUAUGCAAGGCCAAAUUAAACCAUUACAACCUUAUCAACCAUAAUAAUUUAUUUCAACAAUAAUUCAUAAAAUCUUGCAUAAUUACAAUUUAAAUUUCUUCAAUUCUCUGAUCAGAUACUAUGAUACUUUUAUCUAUCCUUCU